GGGCUAGUGACCGAGCGGUCGAAGGUGUCAGUCUUGAAAACUGAACUAUCAACAGAUAGCAUGAGUUCGAAUCUCAUCUUGCCCUCA
Molecule: transfer RNA, 87 nt
Filed under: Proteomonas sulcata
Lineage: Eukaryota; Cryptophyceae; Pyrenomonadales; Geminigeraceae
Description: tRNA-Ser
Rfam family: tRNA
About the family: Transfer RNA (tRNA) molecules are approximately 80 nucleotides in length.
Source: RNAcentral